CCAGACUCCUACGGGAGGCAGCAGUGGGGGCUCUUGCACAAUGGGGGGCCCCCUGAUGCCGCGCCGCCGCGUGGGUGCCGGAGCACCUCGGUGCGUAAAGCCCUCUCGGCAGGGCAGCCACGCGAACAGGUUCGCCUGGACGGUCCCUGACUAAGAAGCCCCGGCUAACUACGUGCCAGCAGCCGCGGUAAUACGUAGGGGGCAAGCGUUAUCCGGAUUCACUGGGUGUAAAGGGAGCGUAGACGGCGACGCAAGUCGGGAGUGAAAGCCCGGGGCCCAACCCCGGGACUGCUCUGGAAACUGCGUCGCUGGAGUACGGGAGGGGCAGGCGGAAUUCCUGGUGUAGCGGUGAAAUGCGUAGAUAUCAGGAGGAACACCGGCGGCGAAGGCGGCCUGCUGGACCGGGACUGACGUUGAGGCUCGAGAGCGUGGGGAGCAAACAGGAUUAGAUACCCCGGUACCU
RNAcentral lists this ribosomal RNA (463 nucleotides) under uncultured bacterium. Its description in RNAcentral is "bacterial SSU rRNA". It matches the Rfam family "Bacterial small subunit ribosomal RNA", at positions 331 to 795 of the family's 1533-position model. The record is from RNAcentral.